GAAGAGCCAUACAAAGAGGGCGAAGAGCAGCGCCACGCCGAGGGAGGUGAGUGCUAUUGCCCAGAUGGGGAGGACCAGGCCCAGAACUGGCAGAUCAAAGUGAGAGCAGGGUUGUCAAUGGACACCGAAAGUGUCUAGACUGCUGAGUGGAUUCCUGAGAAAGGAGGCCCGUCUUUGGUCCAGGCAGCCAGCCGGCUCCUGCGGCAGCAGGCACGGAGGGCAGGCCCCGCGCAGCUUCUCAGGAGCCAGCAGGUGCUGCUGGAAAAGCACGUGACAUCCUGACCAGGUACACAAACAUUUUUAAAAGUCAGCUUUGAAAUAAAAGUUUUUUGAAAGGACAUUUAUCUUCAAAUGUAGCUUUUCUUUGAAGUGUCACCUCACAGAAUUCUGGAAACUCUUCACUCAAACCCAGUUGCACACACUAAGCUAUGAUUACGGCAGCCAAGAAAAAGGCAGACGAGCCCAUGGCUUAGGAGCACCGCAGUCUCCUGGCCCUGUGACGCACCCCCAAGCGCAUCGCCCGGAAUCUGGUACAUCUUCUGGCACUGGAAGCAACAGGCACAUUUCACAUGUUCACAGUGUACAACUUAAAUGUGCACACUUACGCAAGAGCACGAAUAUGUGUGCAUGAAUCCUUACCACGGCAUUAUUUGUAACAGUAAGAAUUUGCAAGAAUACUAAUAGAAUCUUUGUCAUGGAAAUGUGAAAUAAUUACAGCACAGAGUCAUAAAAAUGAGGUAGAGUCACUUAGACUGAUGAGGAAAGAGCCCAAAAUCUAGUGUGUUAAGAAAGGCUACGUGCAUAAUGGUACUCAUAGUAUGACCCAAUUUAUGUAUAAAAAAGGAAAACAACCACACAUGUACACUCCUACUAUAUACAUGAAUUACAGGAAAAGUUCUGGAAAGAUACAAUGGUUAAUCCCAUGGAGAGAUGGGAAACUGGAGGGGGCUUUCCCUUCUGACUUACGUAUACUUUUGUAUAUACUUUUGAACACACAUAAUGACAUCACUUUUGUAAAUUGUUAAAAGUCUGUAAGUUUUAAAGGAGUGAACUAUUUAAGCUUUGCUCUUUGCUCUUAGAUUAAAUAAAUCUUAAAUGAUUCAGGCUUUGUUACACUGUUAACUAUUUUUUAUCUAUAACUCAGUUAUUCAAUGAAGGUAUGGUUAAACAUUUUGGUAAUUGUUAAGAGGAAGAACAGAUAAUUAAUACUAUAAAUGGGGUGUCAAGA
This is a long non-coding RNA of Manis pentadactyla (Chinese pangolin), 1228 nucleotides long. RefSeq lists it as uncharacterized. Lineage: Eukaryota; Metazoa; Chordata; Mammalia; Pholidota; Manidae. The record is from RefSeq and is a predicted model, not a curated record. The transcript is spliced from 2 exons.